RNAcentral lists this ribosomal RNA (496 nucleotides) under uncultured bacterium. Its description in RNAcentral is "partial 16S ribosomal RNA". It matches the Rfam family "Bacterial small subunit ribosomal RNA", at positions 28 to 506 of the family's 1533-position model. The record is from RNAcentral.
GAUGAACGCUGGCGGCGUGCCUGAUACAUGCAAGUCGAGCGAACAGACGAGGAGCUUGCUCCUCUGACGUUAGCGGCGGACGGGUGAGUAACACGUGGAUAACCUACCUAUAAGACUGGGAUAACUUCGGGAAACCGGAGCUAAUACCGGAUAAUAUAUUGAACCGCAUGGUUCAAUAGUGAAAGACGGUUUUGCUGUCACUUAUAGAUGGAUCCGCGCCGCAUUAGCUAGUUGGUAAGGUAACGGCUUACCAAGGCGACGAUGCGUAGCCGACCUGAGAGGGUGAUCGGCCACACUGGAACUGAGACACGGUCCAGACUCCUACGGGAGGCAGCAGUAGGGAAUCUUCCGCAAUGGGCGAAAGCCUGACGGAGCAACGCCGCGUGAGUGAUGAAGGUCUUCGGAUCGUAAAACUCUGUUAUUAGGGAAGAACAAAUGUGUAAGUAACUAUGCACGUCUUGACGGUACCUAAUCAGAAAGCCACGGCUAACUACGU